UACAGAGGUCCCGAGCGUUGUUCGGAUUCACUGGGCGUAAAGGGUGCGUAGGUGGUUGGGUAAGUCUGAUGUGAAAUCUCCGGGCUCAACCCGGAAAUGGCAUUGGAUACUAUUCGGCUAGAGGUUUGGAGGGGGGACUGGAAUUCUCGGUGUAGCAGUGAAAUGCGUAGAUAUCGAGAGGAACACCAGUGGCGAAGGCGAGUCCCUGGACAACACCUGACACUGAGGCACGAAAGCUAGGGGAGCAAACAGG
RNAcentral lists this ribosomal RNA (253 nucleotides) under uncultured bacterium. RNAcentral describes it as "partial 16S ribosomal RNA". It matches the Rfam family "Bacterial small subunit ribosomal RNA", at positions 524 to 776 of the family's 1533-position model. The record is from RNAcentral.